UACGUAGGGGGCAAGCGUUGUCCGGAUUCAUUGGGCGUAAAGAGCUCGUAGGCGGUUCGAUAAGUCGGGUGUGAAACCUCCAGGCUCAACCUGGAGACGCCACCCGAUACUGUCGUGACUAGAGUCCAGUAGGGGAGCGUGGAAUUCCUGGUGUAGCGGUGAAAUGCGCAGAUAUCAGGAGGAACACCAGCGGCGAAGGCGGCGCUCUGGGCUGGAACUGACGCUGAGACGCGAAAGCGUGGGGAGCGAACAGG
Molecule: ribosomal RNA, 254 nt
Filed under: uncultured bacterium
Lineage: Bacteria
Description: partial 16S ribosomal RNA
Rfam family: Bacterial small subunit ribosomal RNA
Source: RNAcentral